This 14494-nucleotide long non-coding RNA is filed under the name Gossypium barbadense (sea-island cotton). RNAcentral's name for it is "long non-coding RNA (GBAR_LNC017461)". The record is from RNAcentral. Lineage: Eukaryota; Viridiplantae; Streptophyta; Magnoliopsida; Malvales; Malvaceae.
CUAUCUGGAAAUCUCCAAUCAGAACCGUUUGUAAAUACCCUAGAACGAGUUCAUGGAACAUUGCAAAGGAUGAAUAAUGAGUAUCUAAGAUCAGCUCUUGACUACCUAGAAACACUGCCAGAUAUAACAAUUGCCAGGAGAACACCGGACACUUACCAUUGCCCAAACCUAAGUAUCAACAAAUGGACACAACUGUCUUUAUAUGAUGCAUAUUUUGGAUGGGGUCGACCAAUAUACAUGGGUCCAACAAACGUUGUCCAUGAAGGAAAAAUAUGUAUACUACCAAGUCCAACCGAUGAUGGGAGCUUGUCAUUGGUAACAUGCCUACAGACUGCUCAUAUGAAACUCUUCGAGAAACAUCUAUACGAAGGCUUGAAGUCAUUUGACAAGAUCAAAGCUCGAUAUUAGUUGUUUGUUCUCUCUAUCAAUAUAUGUAUAAACCUAUAAAUCUUCUACUUCUGUUUCUUUAACUAAGACUUUUUGUUUGGAUCCUGUUUAUUUGAAAUUUACCAUCUAAGUUGGCCUGGCAAACAGGUGUUUUAUUGGUAAUUAUUGUACUAUACCUCAAUAAUAGUAAUAGCAUUGAUCGCAAAGAAAUAAUAAAUUAAAAUAAGAAUACACAGAUUUUACGUGGAAAAGUCUUAUUAGAAAAAAAAUCACAGGCAGAGUAAAAAUUUACUAAUGUUGAAAAGCAACAAUACAAGAAGUUUUUUUACUACACACGUUUUAACGGUUAAAUAACAUUUUUAUAAUCAAUGUCUAAUAGAAGAUCGCUCCCACAUAUCCCCCAAAUUUGCAAUUCUAUUUUAUUUCUUUAACAAACAAGUUGCACCUCGAAUUUUUCUGACUGGAUCAAACGGGGUUCAAAUCAAACAGCUCUGACAACAACUCAAAUUAUUUUUCCAUAACCAUAUUAAAACAAAUACCGAAUAAUUGAAAUAUAUUCAAAAUUUUAAAUUAAAUUAAGUUUGGAUCAAACUCACUGAUGAUAUAUGAUUUACCUAAAGUGAAAUAAGAACUCGAAAAUAUAAAAUUUAUGGGUAAAUUUUCGUUUUGGUCACUUAAUUAAAAAAUUAUAAUUUGGUUAUUAAACUAUUCAAAAGUUUUAUUUUAAGUCAUUGGAUUGUUAAAAUUUAUAUUAUACGACUUUCUCUAUUCGCAGUGCAUGCAUCAAUUGAAAGCUCUCUUUUUCCUUCAUUUUUACAGUUCAUUUUCUAUUUUUAUGUAAAAACUUUGGACGUCAUAAAUCUGUAGACCAAAAUUUAAACAUUUUUUGCUCUGAUUUCCAACAUCGACCAUCAAAUCAAUUUAGAUCUAAGGUAUAUUUUUCUACUCAUUAAUGGAAUAAUGGGUAUCGAUCCAUCGUAUCGAUUGUUGACACCAUUUUUUGGAUGAAAACGGAGUCGACUUGGGUUUGAAAAUGAAAACGAAAAACAAGGUGUCGCGACCGAUCCUUUUUGAUGAGGUGUGAUCGGGUCACCUCGUAAAAGUGGUUGUUUUUAAUAAACGGUUUAAUUUUAUUAAAACAACGAGUUUGGUCCACGAAAUUUAGAAAAACAGGUUCGGGAGUCGGUUACGCACGAGGAAGGAUUAGCACCCUCGAUACGCCCAAAAUUGGUACCCAGUUGAUUACUUAAUGUCUUAAUGUCGAAAAUUGAAAACUUUGAAGAAUUUUAAAAAAUACGAUCCUUGUAUUAAAACGUUGAAAAUUUUCAAGAAAAUGAGGAUAUUUCACGUUAUUCGAGAAAGAGAAUCAUAUCCAGUAAGUUAGGACACAAUGUCUCGAAUUUCCGAUACGCGAAUGAAAAAUGCUUAUUUAAAAGAUAUUUAGCUAUCUCGGAUUUAAAAAAGAGAUCACGACCAGUAAGUUAGAACACGAUCUUUUUUAUUCCCGAGAUCAUUUAAAACUUAAGUUUGAAAAGAUUCGUGUAAUAAAGUUUAAAAGAAUAUUCAAUUGUUUAAAUCAAAUGAAGAAAUUGCAACCCAAUACGUUAGAGCACAAUUUCUCAAAAUAUUAAACACUGAAUAUUGCAUUUAUUUCGAAAAAUCCUCGUCUCGAGGAACCACGUGUCAUGUCCAAUGCAUUAGGACGCAACGUAUUCAAUUCUUGAUAACGAACUUUUUAUCAUUUUUUUAAAAGAGUAAUCUCGAUUAUUUAAGUUCAACGAAGAAAGUCGGAACCCAAUACGUUAGGGCUCGAUUCUCUCGAAGAUCCAAAAUAACGAAUAUUACUUAUUUCUAAAAUUUCUUUUUCGAAAUCUAAAUAAAAAUGGGUGUAAUGGAUUAACGAUGAUAAUAAUGUAAGUAAAAUAAUAAUAUGAGCAAUAGCAUCAAAGAUAAGAUAAAAUAAAAAAGGACAAAUCAAUAGCAUACAGAAUAAAUAUAUAAGCAAAUAAAGUUAAAGCAUUCGUUUAAAAUAAUAAUGAAAAUGUAAAUAAAGAGAUAAACAAAAAAUGAACAAAACUAUAUAAAAAAUAAAAGAUAUAUAUAUUAUAUGCAUAAAUACAUUUGUACAAAAAAAAGGAUAUGUAAGUUGAAAUAUAGAAAAAUAUACGUAAGAAAAAAAUAGGUUUUUAAAACAUAAAAAGUAUGUAUAAAUAUGUUUAUAUGUAAUAAAAACACGUAUGUAUAUAUGAAAUACAACAAUAAUAAAGUAUAAAUAUGUACAUUUAUAUAAAUGGAAAAAGUAGAUAUGUAUAUGUAUAUAUAUAUUAUAAAGCAUAAAAAUAAGUAUUUAUAUAAAUAAAAAUUCGUAUGUAUAUACAUAUAUAUUACAUAAAGAUAAAAGGUAUAAGUAUGUAUAUUAUAAAAUAAAACCGUGCAAGUAUGUACAUAUAUAGAUGAAUUAUAAAGUAAGUAAAAUAUGAGUAUGUAUAUAACAAAGUCUAAAACGGUAUAAAUAGGUAGAUCAAAUGCAAUAAUAAUAAUAAUAAUAAUAAAUUAAAUAAUAAAAAGGGCUAAAUUGAAAACAAAACAAAAUAAGAGAGGAAAAAAAUCAAAAAUGAAAAGAAGUCAAGGAUUAAUCCGUGACGCGCUUGAAAGGAGAGGGACCGAGGCUGCAAAUAAACCGAAGCCCCCAAAACGCAGCGCAGCAGUGGACUAAAUUGAAACAAAAAUAAAACUUUGUGGCCAAAUUAAAAAUAAAAGAAAAUGCGAAAAGGGGCCAAAUUGCGACACACUUCAAAGUCAGAGGGACUGCGUGCGCAAAUAUCCCCUUUAGCGAAAACACGCUGAUCCUCCCCUCGGGUCGGAUCACCGCGCGGGUCAAGGGAGCCUUAAACGUCGCCGUUUUGAAAUUCCUAUAAAAGCUAAUUUUUUUCUGCUAUUUCAUUUCUUAAAAAAAAACAUAAGAAAAAACAAAAGGGUCUUCCCCUUUCUCUGCUAGGGUUCCAAACUUGGAACCCCGCCGCCGUCUGCCGCAUCUCCAUCGCAGCGCCACCAAGGACGGUGGCCGGAGUCGUGCGAGAAAAAGGGAUUUUUAACCCUCAUCGUGUGGCAUCCUUGAGAUCUCAGAUCUCUCAACCCGCGGGAAAGAGGGAAACCCACAACCCCUCUCGGACCCGAAUCGGCGACGGAGGAGAAGCCCUCCGACGGCGCAACCACGGUGGUUCCCGGUGAGUCCCCUUUCCCUUUUUAUUUUCUAUUUAAUGUACGAAAUAAAGAAAAUAAAAUAAAUAAAUAAAGAAAUGCGAAUCUGAUAUCAAGCCUUGAAUCUAUUUUUUUGAUUGUUUUAUUUAUAUGAAAAUGUUACAAAAGAAAAGAAAAAGCCCCCCGAUUCAGUGAUGAAGCCCCCUCUUACAAUCAAAAUCCCUAUAUUCUACUGCUAUUGUGUCUUUUCUUUUGUAGGUGGAGCAGGUGAGGGCGUCGGUGGCAAGUGGGCAUGGUGAUGGGACGUAUGCGGCGGCCAGCAGAGCUAGGGUGCAGAGGGCUGCAGCGCUAGGGUUUCUUUUCUGAAACCCUAGCUUGACUUUUGGGGAAUUGGGCUCCGAAUUUGGGCCUCGGGUUUGGGUUAGGCUAGUUGGGUUUAUUGUAUUGGGUUGUAACUGGAAUUGGAUCAUUUGGGUUUGGGUGGUUUGGGCUGAGUCUGUUGGGUUAUUGGGCUGAUGUUUGUUAGUUUAGGGUUAAUUGGGCCCAGGCAUAAAAAUUGGGCUUGUACAAUAAAUAUAUAUUUUUUAUUUUUAUUUUUUAAUUUUAAAAUACGUUAAAAAUAUUUUUUUUUAUUUUUAAAAUAUUUUUUUUGUGUUUAUUAAAAAUCGGGCUGGGCCCGGGCUUAUUAUUUUUUUCUCGGGCCGGGCCUGGGAAAAAUUUCAGGCCCAUAUUUCGGGCCGGGCCGGGCCCGGGCCUAAGAGUCGGGCCAAAUUUUUUCCCGGGCCCGGCCCGAACCCGGCCCGGCCCAUGGACAGGUCUAGUGACAGUACAAAUGGGUUUUAAAUGCCAACUACGAUGUCCAAUUAUUAGGACAAAAAUAGGUUUUUAAUUAAAUAAAUUAAAUUUAGACUGCCACGUAGGACCGUCAUAAGGGAGGUAAGAGAGCUUAAUGAUAGAGUGACCAAUUCGUAACAGAACGAUAACAUUAGUGACUAAAACGUAACAUUUCAAACUUAAGUGACUAAAAUGUAAUCUGAAGCAAAUAAAAGUGACUGUUUUAAAGUUUACCCUUAAUGUAAUUAUUGGCGGAUGAUCUGGCCGCACCGACAAACAGCAGAAAUUGAGUCAUUUUCGUAAUUAUUUACAAAAUUUGGGUUACUUUUGUAAAAAAACCAGAGAAGAGAACCUCGCCUCUUCUUAAGAUAGCCGGACACUUUCUAACUUUCCCUUCUUUCAGUUUUUCAUCAACAGGUUUGCCUCUUACCAGAACAUCAAUGGAUGUUAGUGUAAAGAGAUGGAGCAUGAUACGCCCUGCCCAAGAUACUCCUAAAGAAAGGCAAUGGAUUUCAAAUCUGGACAUGGUGAUAACAACAUACCAUGUCCCUUUGCUGUUUUUCUACAAACCAAAUGGCUCCUCUGAUUUCUUUAAGCCUCAAGUGCUACAGGAGGCUUUAAGCAAGACUCUUGUGCAAUUCUAUCCUAUGGCUGGGAGGUUGGGACAUGAUGAAAAUGGUAGGCUCGAGAUAUUAUGCAACGCAGAGGGUGUUCUGUGGAUAGAAGCUGAAACUACAUCGGCCAUGGAUGAUCUCGACGGUUUUACUCCCUGCUCAAAACUGAGGAAACUGGUUCCCACGGCUGAUUACUCUGGAGAUAUCAGUUCUUAUCCGCUUAUUAUGGCUCAGGUAAGUGAAUGAAGAACUAUUAUCUUAUUGUAGAUGAUAACUGUUACUUGCAGUAGGAGACCAAGGAUAAGCUCUGAGAAAACUCAAACAGUCUGAUACUGAAGUUAUAGCACAAGAAAAACUAAGCUAUCAGCUAAGAAGUUGAUAUAUGGCUUUUUUUUCUCAAAACUGACUUAAAAGAAUCGAUUAAUUAUGAAAAUUACCCAGGUAUAAUAUCUUAUAUGAGAAUGACCCGUUUUCUACCGUAAAAAUUGGUACCGCUAGACUAUUUAGCGGUACCGAUAUUUUUGUAAAAGUAUUACCAUCAACAAAUUAUCGAUAUAUACUUUCCAUUCAUCUUCACAAGAAAGUGCUAAUUACGGAGGUCCAUGGUGGUGGCUUAGUAGUGAUGAAGAUGAAACCAAAACCCUUUUCUCUUCAAUGAACCUCUGGUUUGACUCAUUUGUAAUAAUUAUUUUCGCUCGUUGGAUACACCCGCAUUUUAAAUGGAAAACUGUAAUAAUCCUCACCGAAGAAAAGCAAAGAACAAGAUUAAUCAAAGCGAACAAUAUUGUUACAAAUGAGUUAGGAGAGAGGUUCAUUGAAGAGAAAAGGGUUUCGAUUUCAUCUUCUUCACUGCUAAGCCACUGCCAUGGAACUCUUAGACCUUUCUCAUGAAGCUAAACGAUACCAUCAACAAAGUAUAUCCUUUUUACAAAACUAACAUCGGUGCCAACAAUGAGUCCGGCAACAUUCAAAAAAUAUAUUUUUUUAAAAAACAUGGGGUGGUGCUUCAAUGGAAAUGGUGGCACCAAAUUUUAUGAUAGAAAAUGGGUUAUUCUCGUACAAAAUUUUACACUUGAGUCAUUUUUAUAAUUAAUAAAAAUUUUUGGUCAAUUUUGAAAAAAAAAACUUAAUGUUUUUGUUUCGAAAAGGUCAAUUGUUGAGUGUAUAUUUUGCUAGGUAACUACUCUUAAAUGCGGUGGAGUUUGUCUUGGAAUAGCAACUCAUCAUACUUUGACUGAUGGCACAACGACCUUACAUUUCAUUAAUAGUUGGUCUGAAAUGGCAAGAGGCUUGCCCCAAAUUAGCAUGCCACCACUUAUUGACCGAACCCUUCUCCGAGCAAGAGUGCCACCAAUCCCUAGAUUUCAUCAUCUCGAAUAUGACCGACCUCCUUCCUUAUACACCUCUACGUCACUUGGCCCUAAUAACCAUAAACCCUCAACUGUAUCUGUUUUCAAGAUCACACAAAAUCAACUUAAUACCCUAAAAGCCAAGUCAUGGGAACAUGGAAACAAAACCAAUUACAGCACCUACACCAUUCUAGUUGCAUACAUAUGGCGCUGUGCAACUAAAGCUUGGGACCUCUCAUAUGAUCAGCCAACCAAGUUACACAUCCCAACUGAUGGACGCCCCAGACUACAUCCUCCCCUCCCAUCAACGUACUUGGGCAACGCAAUGUUUGCGGCUUCAUUAAUUGCUCUAUCUAGAAAUCUGCAAUCAGAACCGUUUGUAAAUACCCUAGAACGAGUUCAUGGAACAUUGCAAAGGAUGAAUAAUGAGUAUCUAAGAUCAGCUCUUGACUACCUAGAAACACUGCCAGAUAUAACAGUUGCCAGGAGAACACCGGACACUUACCAUUGCCCAAACCUAAGUAUCAACAAAUGGACACGACUGUCUUUAUAUGAUGCAGAUUUUGGAUGGGGUCGACCAAUAUACAUGGGUCCAGCAAACAUUGUCCAUGAAGGAAAAAUAUACAUACUACCAAGUCCAACCAAUGAUGGGAGCUUGUCAUUGGUAGCAUGCCUACAGACUGCUCAUAUGAAACUCUUCGAGAAACAUCUAUACGAAGGCUUGAAGUCAUUUGACAAGAUCAAAGCUCGAUAUUAGUUGUUUGUUCUCUCUAACAAUAUAUGUAUAAACCUAUAAAUCUUCUACUUCUGUUUCUUUAACUAAGACUUUUUGUUUGGAUCCUGUUUAUUUGAAAUUUACCAUCUAAGCUGGCUUGGCGAACAGGUCUUUUAUUGGUAAUUAUUGUACUAUACCUCGAUAAUAGUAGUAUCAUUGAUCGCAAAGAAAUAAUAAAGAAAAAUAAGAAUACACAGAUUUUACGUGGAAAAGUCUUAUUAGGAAAAAAAAUCACGAGCAGAGUAAAAAUUCACUAAUGUUGAAAAAUACUAAUACAAGAAGUUUUUUUGACUACACAUUUUAACGGUUAAAUAACAUUUUUAUAAUCAACGUUUAAUAGAAGAUCGCCCCCACAUAUCCCCCAAAUUUGCAAUUCUAUUUUAUUUCUUUAACAAACAAGUUGCACCUCGAAUUUUUCUGAUUGGAUCAAACGGGGUUCAGAUCAAACAGCUCUAACAACAACUCAAAUUAUUUGUCCAUAACCAUAUUAAAACAAAUACCGAAUAAUUGAAAUAUAUUCAAAAUUUUAAAUUAAAUUAAGUUUGGAUCAAACUCACUGAUGAUAUAUGAUUUACCUAAAGUGAAAUAAGAACUCGAAAAUACAAAAUUUAUGGGUAAAUUUUCAUUUUGGUCACUUAAUUAAAAAAUUAUAAUUUGGUUAUUAAACUAUUCAAAAGUUUUAUUUUAAGUCAUUGGAUUGUUAAAAUUGAUAUUAUAUGACUUUCUUUGUUCACAGUGCAUGCAUCAAUUGAAAGCUCUCUUUUUCCUUCAUUUCUACAGCUCAUUUUCUAUUUUUAUGUAACAACUUUGGACGUCACAAAUUUGCAGACCAAAAUUCAAACAUUUUUUGCUCUGAUUUCCAACAUGGACCAUCAAAUCAAUGUAGAUCUAAAUUAUAUUUUUAUACUCAUUAAUGGGUACUGAUCCACCAUAUCGAUUGUUGAAUCCUUACUUGGAGCUCGUUAGUGGAACUUAAAAAACAACUUAAUAUAUAGCCUAGUGACUUAAAUGAAAAUUUUUGAAUUUAGUGGCCAAACCAAAAACUUUCCUAUAAUUUAAUGACUAAUGGUAUAGUUUACGCACUUCCUCUUGGCCCAAUUGAAGUUUUUGGUACUCCCACACACUAGUAAAAAAGUUUUAAUAGUAGAAAUGUAUGAAAUUUUUAAUAGAAAGUACCAUUUUACUUUUUGAUCUAUAUACAGAGAUUAAUUUGCCAAUUUUUUAAAUAAAUGGGGUAAAAUGUAAUUUGACUUUUAAUAUAAAAAUCUCCAUGGUAUGUUUACCUUGAAAUUAUCAAUAAAAACUAAUAAAUAUAAAAUGAAACAGUUAAUAAUAUAUCAAAUAUCCACGAGGUGAUAGGUGAUUUUAAAAUUUAACAUUUACAACUUAAUGGGCUAGUGACAAGGCCAAGCAAACCAUUAGUGGAUUGGUAACAAAUUUGGUAAUAUUUCAACGAUCCAAUUGUUUAAUAUAUCGAUAUAACUGUAUUUGGUAUGCAUGAAAAUUUUCGAACCGAUCCGAUAUUUCUGACAUAUUGAUCCAAAAUAUUGUAUAUAUUGAACUAUUAAAAGUUUUUAUAUAAAAUAAAUAGUUAGUUUUUUUUUUAAUUUACAUCAAAUUUGACAUGCAUAAUAUGACAAUUGAAUCAUUAAAAUAUGGGUAAACUACACCCAUGGUCACUUUUGUUUACCUUAGGUUACAUUUCAGUCACUUAUGUUUGAAAUGUUACAUUUUAGUCACUUACGUUAUCGUGUUGUAAUAUUUUAGUCACUGAGCCGUUAAUUGCCGUUAAUGGUGUAAUGGUAAGCUGACGUGGCACGUUAAAUCAUCAUUUCAAACAAAAACUUUAGGUUAAAUUAUACAAUUGGUCACCAUAAUUUUUCGUUUUGAGCAAUUUAAUUCUUUUAUGUUCUUUUAACUUUCUUUUUUUUUUCUUUUUUUCUUUUCUCUUCUGCUUCACCCUAUGUUUUUCUACCUUCUUUAUUUCUUUUAACAUACCAGGAAGUCGAAUUGGUAGUGAAGAAAGAAGCAUGAUAUGGGUUUAUGGGUUUUGGUUAUAGGGUUUUGGUUAUAGGCAAAUGAUGACAGUCGACUUCCUACUUCUUUUUUCAUUGCCAAUUCGACUUCCUAAUAUGUUAAAAGAAAUGGGAAAGGUAUGAAAACAGAGGGAGAAACAAAAGAGAAUGAAAAAGAGAGAGGAAAGUUUAAAGAACAUAAAAAAAAUUAAAUUACUAAAAACGAAAAAAAUAUGGGGAUCAAUUGUAUAAUUUAACCUAAAAUUUUGUUUGAAAUGAUGAUUUAACGUGCCACGUCAACUUACCGUUACACCAUUAACGACGAUUAAUGGCUCAGUGACUAAAAUGUUACAACUUGAUAACGUAAAUGACUAAAACGUAACCUAAAGUAAACAAAAGUGACCAUGAGUGUAGUUUACCCUUAAAAUAUUAAUCGUAUAAAAAAAUAAAAUACAUAUUUUAAAUUUAAUAUAAAAAUGUUUAAAAAACACUAAAAUAAAUUAAUAAAAUUCUCAAUGACUUUUGGGUUUAAAUCACAAUUAUCGAAACAGGACAAAUCGAAAAUUAAUUAAUGUAUAAAUUUGGAAUAAGAGGAUUAAUUAUCUCACAAAUUGGUUAAAUCAACCAAUCAGAUCAAUUUUUUUCAUUUUUAAAUUUUUUAAUAAUUUAUUUAAUUAAAUUAAUCAAAUCAAUCAAAUCGGAAUUAGAAUCUAAUUCUAAACACUUUGCUUUGUUAUGUCAAAGCCAUAUGUUUUUUUUACACCUUAUUUAUUCCGCAAAUUAUUGUCCGCACAUGUCAACUCUUUAUCAUCUUUUAAUGACGUGUAUGGUAUAGAUAGCCUAUCUGCAUUUUUUUUUAUUUGCCAAAUUCUUUUAUUAUUCCUUGUAUUAUAAUUAGUUUGUGAAUUUAAUCUCUAUAUUAAAAUAAAAUGUCAAUUUUAGUCCUUAUACUUUUUAGCAUUUAAAAUUUUAAUCCUCCACAAAGAGUAGUAAUUAAAUAUGUUUGUUAAUUUAUGUCGUUAAUCUUUUACACAGUAUAAAGUUAUUCCACGUUCUCUAAUUUGAUCAUUCAUAAUCCUUAUAUUUUUUGAAUUUUUAAAUUUUAACAAGCUGAUAUGAUAUUACAUAUAUGAUAAUAUUUUUGACGUAUAAGAUUUUGAAAAUAAUAAAACUACUUAAUGAAUUUAAUGGUUAUCGUUUAUAUCAAGAUUGAAAUUUCAAAAUUAGAAAAAUAUACGGACUAAAAUGAUUAAAUUAAAGUACAUAGACUAAAUUUAUAACUUGUCUAUUGCACAAGUACUAAUAGCAAGAUUUAACCUAUUUUUACAUUUAAAUAUGUAAAAGUAUCACCCAUCCACUGCCUUCCAAGAGAGAAGAUAAGCGUUUUUUUAGCAAUAAAAGAAAUAAUAAUUACCUGAUAAAUUAUUUUAUGGACAUUUUUCACGAUAUCUUCCAUGAUCCCGUCCUAUUAGAAGAUGACACAUCAUCUUUUUUUGACACAUCAUAUGUACAUUUAGACUAAACUCCCAAAUGAAAGAUGAAGUGUCUUGUUUUAAUUGGGAGGAACUAUGGAUGAUGGGGUGGAAAAUGUCUAUAAAAUAAUUUCUCAUUAUUACCUUGUCUUCGAACACAAAAACACAAGCAUUAGCAUACAGAUUUUGCCCAUCCGCUACCUCCCAAUAGACAAGAUAGGUUUUUUUUUAAUUAACUCAAUUUUUUUGAUUAAUUACGAAAAUAAUCAACUUAAAAAUUACAUACGUAAAUGAUUUGAUUUUUACAGUGUUUGUCGAUGCUUCCAGACACAUCGGCGGCACAAGUCUCAUCAUCGACCAAUAAUUGUAUUAUUUUAAAGAUUUUCAAUUCAUUCCCUAACAUAUUUAAAUUUAUAUAAAUUGAGAUAAUUUUUUGAAGGAUAUAUUUGGGUAAUUUAAAUAAGACUUUUAACUUUAUUGUUUCUAAAAAAAUAAAAAUAAUUUAUUUUUGUUAUUCUUAUAUUUUUAAGGGCUAUUUAAAUAUAAUUUUAAAAAUAUAUAUACUUAACACGCAAAUAAAUAAAAAAUUAACAAGCAUCAAAUUUGGUGCCGACAUGGUGCACUAAAAAGUUAUUAUUUUCUGGGUAAAUUACAGUAAUAGUCACUUUUAUUUACCUCAUUAUAUUUUAGUUAUUUAUGUUUGAAAUAUUACAUUUUAGUCACUUACGUUAUCAUUUUGUUAUUAAGUGGUCACUCCACCGUUAAACUUCGUUACCUCUCUAACGGUAGUCCUACGCGACAGUACAAAUGGGUUUUAAAUACCAACUACGAUGUUCAAUUGUUGGGACGAAAAUAGGUUUUUAAUUAAAUAAAUUUAAUUUAGACUGCCACGUAAGACCAUCAUUAGGGAGGUAAGAGAGCUUAAUGAUAGAGUAACCAAUUCGUAAUAAAAUGAUAACAUAAGUGACUAAAAUGUAAUAUUUUAAACUUAAGUGACUAAAAUAUAAUCUGAAGCAAAUAAAAGUGACUGAUUUAUAGUUUACCCUUAAUGUAAUUAUUGGCGGAUGAUCUGGCCGCACCGACAAACAGUAGAAAUUGAGUCAUUUUCGUAAUUAUUCACAAAAUUUGGGUUACUUUUAUAAAAACCCGAAAAGAGAACCUCGCCUUUGCUUAAGAUAGACGAGCACUUUCUGACCUUCCCUUCUGUUGGGUUUUCAUCAACAGGUUUGCCUCUUAAUUACCAGAACAUCAAUGGAUGUUAGUGUAAAGAGAUGGAGCAUGAUACGCCCUGCUCAAGAUACUCCUAAAGAAAGGCAAUGGAUUUCAAAUCUGGACGUGGUGAGGCCAACAUUCCAUGUCCCUUUGCUGUUUUUCUACAAACCAAAUGGCUCCUCUGACUUCUUCAAGCGUCAAGUGCUACAGGAGGCUUUAAGCAAGACUCUUGUGCAAUUCUAUCCUAUGGCUGGGAGGUUGGGACGUGAUGAAAAUGGUAGGCUCGAGAUAUUAUGCAACGCAGACGGUGUUCUGUGGAUAGAAGCUGAAACUACAUCGGCCAUGGAUGAUCUCGACGGUUUUACUCCCUGCUCAAAACUGAGGAAACUGGUUCCCACGGCUGAUUACUCUGGAGAUAUCAGUUCUUAUCCGCUUAUUAUGGCUCAGGUAAGUGAAUGAAGAACUAUUAUCUUAUUGUAGAUGAUAACUGUUACUUGCAGUAGGAGACCAAGGAUAGGUUCUGAGAAAACUCAAACAGCCUGAUACUGAAGUUAAAGCACAAGAAAAACUAAGCUAUCAGCUAAGAAGUUCAUAUAUACACGAGAAUGACCCGUUCUCUACCGUAAAAGUCGGUGCCGCUAGACUAAUUAGUGACACCAAUAUUUUUGUAAAAGUAUUACCAUCAACAAAGUAUCGAUACUUUCCGUUCAUCUUCACAAGAAAGUGCUAAUUAUGGAGGUCCACGGUGGUGGCUUAGUAGUGAAGAAGAUGAAACCAAAACCCUUUUCUCUUUAAUGGAUCUCUGGUUUGACUCAUUUGUAAUAAUCAUUUUCGUUCGUCGAAUACGACCGCAUUUUAAAUGGAAAACUGUAAUAAUGAUCCUCACUGAAGAAAAGCAAAGAACAAGAUUAAUCAAAGCGAACAAGAUUAUUACAAAUAGACCUGUACAUAGGCCGGGCCGGGUCGGGUUCGGGCUAGGCUCACAAAAAUUUCAGCCCGUUUACUAGGCCCGGGCCAGGCCCGGCCCGAAAUAUAGACAUGAGAUUUUGCCUAGGCCCGGCCCGAAGAAAAAAUAUGGGGCCCGAGCCCGGCCCGUUUUUAAUUAAAAUUAAAAUUAUUUUUUUAAUAAAAUUAAAAUUAAUUGCUAUUAAAAUUAAUUGUUAGUAAAAUUAUCAAAUUAUUAAUUGUUAAUUGUAUUAAUUGUUGUAAUAAAAUCUAACAUUUGAUUAGUAAAUUUAUCAAAUUAUUAAUUGUAUUAAUUGUUGUAACAAAAUCUAACAUUUGAUUAGUAAAACAAACUUGAUGUUUUAUUAUUAUUAUUUUGUAACACUAGUCAAGGAAAUGAAAGUAAAUAAACUUAAAAUAAAAAACUAUUACAUUUUAAAAAUAAAAAAUAUAUAUUUAAUAUUUUUCGGGCCGGGCCGGGCCGAGCCCGGGCCAAAAAAUCUUGCCCGAGGCCUGGCCCAUUUUUUAAACGAGCCUAAAAUUUUGCCCAAUCCCAUAUUUCGGGCAUAUAUUUUACCCAAACCCUCCCAUAUUUUGGGCGGGCCGUCGGGCCGGGCCGGGCCGCCCGGCCCAUGGACAGGUCUAAUUACAAAUGAGCCGGGCGAGAGGUUAAUUGAAGAGAAAAUGGUUUCAAUUUCAUCUUCUUAACUGCUAAGCCACCACCAUGGAACCCUUAGCACUUUUUCGUGAAGCUAAAUGAUACCAUCAACAAAGUAUUGAUCCUUUUUACAAAACUGGCAUUGGUGCCACCAAUGAGUCCGGCGACAUUCAAAACAAAUAUAUUUUUAAAAAACAUGGGGUGGUGCCUUCAAUGGGAAUGAUGGCACCAAAUUUUAUGAUAGAAAAUGGGUUAUUCUUGUACAAGAUUUUACACUUAGUCAUUUUUUAUAAUUAAUCAAUCUUUUUUGGUCAAUUUAAAAAAAAAACCUUAAUAUUUUUGUUUCAAAAAGGUCAAUUAUUGAGUGUAUAUUUUGCUAGGUAACUACUCUUAAAUGCGGUGGAGUCUGUCUUGGAAUAGCUACUCAUUGUACUUUGGCUGAUGGCACAACGACCUUUCAUUUCAUUAAUAGUUGGUCUGAAAUGGCAAGAGGCCUGCCCCAAAUUAGCAUGCCACCACUUAUUAACCGAACCCUUCUCCAAGCAAGAGUGCCACCAAUCCCUAAAUUUCAUCAUCUCGAAUGUGACCUACCUCCUUCUUUAAACACCUCUACGUCACUUGGCCCUAAUAACCAUAAACCCUCAACUAUAUCUAUUUUCAAGAUCACACAAAAUCAACUUAAUACCCUAAAAGCCAAGUCAUGGGAACAUGGAAACAAAACCAAUUACAGCACCUACACCAUUCUAGCUGCAUACAUAUGGCGCUGUGCAACUAAAGCUCGGGGCCUCUCAUAUGACCAGCCAACCAAGUUAAACAUGCCAAUUAAUGGACGUCCUAGACUACAUCCUCCCCUCCCAUCAACGUACGUGGGUAAUGCAGUGUUUGCGGCUUCAUUAAUUGCUCUAUCUUGAAAUCUGCAAUCAGAACCGUUUGUAAAUACCCUAGAACGAGUUCAUGGAACAUUGAAAAGGAUGAAUAAUGAGUAUCUAAGAUCAGCUCUUGACUACCUAGAAACACUGCCAGAUAUAACAG